UCCUUCGUGGUGUAGUGGUCAGCACGUUUGACCCGUCUUCGAGAGGUCCGUGGUUCGAGUCCCGGCAAGGGCA
Stegodyphus mimosarum is the source of this 73-nucleotide non-coding RNA. NCBI's taxonomy places the organism in Eukaryota, Metazoa, Arthropoda, Arachnida, Araneae, Eresidae. The record is from Rfam.